UAUAUUUGUACUUACUGAAACUCAGUACAACUAUCACCCCCACCCCUCUUCAAUCCUGAUCCAAACAAGGAACUUGUUUUAAAUUGGAUCUUCACACUUGAGUCAGAUCUAUGCAGGGACUCAGCAAGACAGGAAGCUUGUCCAGUGUGAGUCAUAGCUUCAACAACACUGUUAACCUGUAAAGAUGGGAAACUGACAGAGAACUUCUCCCUGCCAUUGAAGGUCAUAUCCCAGUACAGAUGAUUUCAAGGUACAAUACUCUGUAUCCAUCAGAAGGAACAUCCGGGGAAAUAGAAAGCUACAGGGGCACAAUCUACUUAUGAAAACCCAGAAGCAAACCACCCAAACCACAGCCUCUGAUCCUCCCACAAGGGGAUAUUUUUACCACUCUCCAUAAUGCUGAG
Long non-coding RNA from Antechinus flavipes (yellow-footed antechinus), 404 nucleotides. RefSeq lists it as uncharacterized. The transcript is spliced from 2 exons. The record is from RefSeq and is a predicted model, not a curated record. NCBI's taxonomy places the organism in Eukaryota, Metazoa, Chordata, Mammalia, Dasyuromorphia, Dasyuridae.